Molecule: ribosomal RNA, 515 nt
Filed under: uncultured bacterium
Lineage: Bacteria
Description: partial 16S ribosomal RNA
Rfam family: Bacterial small subunit ribosomal RNA
Source: RNAcentral
UGGGGAAUAUUGGGCAAUGGGCGCAAGCCUGACCCAGCGACGCCGCGUGGGGAAGAAGUCUUUCGGGACGUAAACCCAUGUUGUACGGGACGAAGGAAGUGACGGUACCGUACGAGGAAGCCCCGGCAAACUACGUGCCAGCAGCCGCGGUAAUACGUAGGGGGCGAGCGUUGUCCGGAAUCACUGGGCGUAAAGCGCACGUAGGCGGGCUGUUAAGUCGGCCGUGAAAUACACUGGCUCAACCGGUGCAGGUCGGUCGAUACUGGCGGUCUGGAGUAUGGGAGAGGGAACUGGAAUUCCCGGUGUAGCGGUGAAGUGCGUAGAUAUCGGGAGGAACACCAGUGGCGAAGGCGGGUUCCUGGCCCAUGACUGACGCUGAGGUGCGAAAGCCGGGGAGCGAACGGGAUUAGAUACCCCGGUAGUCCCGGCUGUAAACGAUGGAUGCUAGGUGUGGGGAGGUUCCUCUCUGUGCCGCAGCUAACGCGAUAAGCAUCCCGCCUGGGGGAGUACGAUCG